GUGCUCCCCUAGGAAGCACCUACCCUAAAAUUCGAAUGAUACAGAGAAGAUUAGCAUGGCUAAAGAGUAAAUAAAUGAAUGAAUAUAUAAAAGGAAUUUCU
Marmota marmota marmota (Alpine marmot) is the source of this 101-nucleotide small nuclear RNA. Lineage: Eukaryota; Metazoa; Chordata; Mammalia; Rodentia; Sciuridae. The record is from Ensembl.